Molecule: long non-coding RNA, 488 nt
Organism: Canis lupus familiaris (dog)
Lineage: Eukaryota; Metazoa; Chordata; Mammalia; Carnivora; Canidae
Exons: 2
Source: RefSeq, a predicted model, not a curated record
ACAAAGUAAACUGAAGGGCUGGCAGCCAGCCCUCCUUACAGAUGAGGACCCUGUCCUCCUUACAGAUGAGGACCCCAUCCUUCUUACAGAUGGGGACUCCGUUCUCCAGGCGGGGGCAAGGGAUGUCUCCCAAGACCCCCAGUUGAUGGCCCACCAGUGCGACCGCCUAAGCCAAUGUUGACCCAAUACAGAUUGGAAUUCCUACAGGAUGGACAAGCUCCAUCUCUAGCCCAUUUGUUAGUUGUGAUGGAAAGGAGCAUCAUUGAUUUCAUAGAAGGCUCUGGCUCACUCACAAAUGGCUUGUAACAGAGGAGCCAAAGCAAGACUCUGAGCAUCCAAAGUCUCCUGCUGAAAAAGGAACAAACAGGAAUCUCUGAAAUUCACUGACCUUCUCUAACAAAAAUAUCCAAGAAAAUAGAUCAGAAAAAAAAAAAAGGAAGAAGCAAUGCAAUAUGAAGUAUGAAGUUAAUUGUGGGGUCUUUUACUCA